CACAAUGUGGUUUUCAGUUACCUACCUGCUUGUUACCAACCUGCAAUUUUGGACUCUCUGCCAACAGAAGCUCAAAACGGAUGGGGAUGCCAGUUAGCUCCAUAUCAUCCUGCUCGCAGCUAUUUCCUCUGGUGAAGGAGACUUGAUGAAAACUGACUUAAUUGGACUGUAGGGAAGUAAUUUCCAUGAUGACAUACAGUCGUCA
Perca fluviatilis (European perch) is the source of this 205-nucleotide long non-coding RNA. RefSeq lists it as uncharacterized. NCBI's taxonomy places the organism in Eukaryota, Metazoa, Chordata, Actinopteri, Perciformes, Percidae. The transcript is spliced from 3 exons. The record is from RefSeq and is a predicted model, not a curated record.